GCUAGUGUGGCAUAGUGGUUUGAGUGUUGGACUAUGACUCUGGAAAACAGGGUUCAAUCCCCAGUUUGGCC
This 71-nucleotide transfer RNA is filed under the name Phrynosoma platyrhinos (Desert horned lizard). RNAcentral's name for it is "tRNA-OTHER". Lineage: Eukaryota; Metazoa; Chordata; Lepidosauria; Squamata; Phrynosomatidae. The record is from RNAcentral.